UGGGGAAUUUUGGACAAUGGGCGAAAGCCUGAUCCAGCAAUGCCGCGUGUGUGAAGAAGGCCUUCGGGUUGUAAAGCACUUUUGUCCGGAAAGAAAUCCUUGGCUCUAAUACAGUCGGGGGAUGACGGUACCGGAAGAAUAAGCACCGGCUAACUACGUGCCAGCAGCCGCGGUAAUACGUAGGGUGCAAGCGUUAAUCGGAAUUACUGGGCGCAAAGCGUGCGCAGGCGGUUUGCUAAGACCGAUGUGAAAUCCCCGGGCUCAACCUGGGAACUGCAUUGGUGACUGGCAGGCUAGAGUAUGGCAGAGGGGGGUAGAAUUCCACGUGUAGCAGUGAAAUGCGUAGAGAUGUGGAGGAAUACCGAUGGCGAAGGCAGCCCCCUGGGCCAAUACUGACGCUCAUGCACGAAAGCGUGGGGGAGCAAACAGGAUUAGAUACCCUGGUAGUCCACGCCCUAAAACGAUGUCAACUAGUUGUUGGGGAUUCAUUUCCUUAGUAACGUAGCUAACGCGUGAAGUUGACCGCCUGGGGAGUACGGUCGCAAGAUUAAAACUCAAAUGAAUUGACGGGGUCAUAGCUGUUUCCU
RNAcentral lists this ribosomal RNA (587 nucleotides) under uncultured bacterium. RNAcentral's name for it is "partial 16S ribosomal RNA". It matches the Rfam family "Bacterial small subunit ribosomal RNA", at positions 355 to 1375 of the family's 1533-position model. The record is from RNAcentral.